Molecule: long non-coding RNA, 245 nt
Organism: Sapajus apella (tufted capuchin)
Lineage: Eukaryota; Metazoa; Chordata; Mammalia; Primates; Cebidae
Exons: 3
Source: RefSeq, a predicted model, not a curated record
GUGUCGAUUUUAUAUCUUUCCGGCUUUCUCUUGAGGGUACCCAGUGCUAUAAAUUUCCCUUUAAACACUGCUUUAGCUAUGUCCCAGAGAUUCUGAUAUGUUUGUGUCUUUGUUUUCAUGGGUUUCAAAGAACUUGCUUAUUUCUGUCUUAAUUUCACUAUGCACCCAGUAGUUAUUCAGAAGCAGAUUGUUCAGUUUCCAUGUAGUUGUGCAGUUUUGAGUGAAGAAAUUCAUUCAAAUCUUGA